RNAcentral lists this ribosomal RNA (449 nucleotides) under uncultured bacterium. Its description in RNAcentral is "partial 16S ribosomal RNA". It matches the Rfam family "Bacterial small subunit ribosomal RNA", at positions 29 to 523 of the family's 1533-position model. The record is from RNAcentral.
AACGAACGCUGGCGGCAUGCCUAACACAUGCAAGUCGAACGAAGGCUUCGGCCUUAGUGGCGCACGGGUGCGUAACGCGUGGGAAUCUGCCCCUCGGUUCGGAAUAACAGUUAGAAAUGACUGCUAAUACCGGAUGAUGACUUCGGUCCAAAGAUUUAUCGCCGAGGGAUGAGCCCGCGUAGGAUUAGGUAGUUGGUGGGGUAAAGGCCUACCAAGCCGACGAUCCUUAGCUGGUCUGAGAGGAUGAUUAGCCACACUGGGACUGAGACACGGCCCAGACUCCUACGGGAGGCAGCAGUGGGGAAUAUUGGACAAUGGGCGAAAGCCUGAUCCAGCAAUGCCGCGUGAGUGAUGAAGGCCUUAGGGUUGUAAAGCUCUUUUACCAGGGAUGAUAAUGACAGUACCUGGAGAAUAUGCUCCGGCUAACUCCGUGCCAGCCGCCGCAGUAA